Long non-coding RNA from Amphiprion ocellaris (clown anemonefish), 1138 nucleotides. The record is from Ensembl. NCBI's taxonomy places the organism in Eukaryota, Metazoa, Chordata, Actinopteri, Pomacentridae.
UUGAAGACCUCUGAGACAAAGGUUUAGAUCCAUUCCUCCCAAACUGUGUAGAUAUUGCUGUCACAUACACUGCCGUUCCAAAAAUUUGGGGUCACCCAGACAAUUUCAUGUUUUCCAUGAAAACUCACGGUUUUAUCCAUGUGCUAACAUAACUGCACAAGGGUUUUCUAAUCAUCAAUGAGCCUUUCAACACCAUUAGCUAACACAAUGUAGCAUUAGAACACAGGAGUGAUGGUUGCUGGAAAUGUUCCUCUGUACCCCUAUGGAGAUAUUCCAUUAAAAAUCAGUCAUUUCCAGCUAGAAUAGUCAUUUCAUUUUGAACAUUAACGAUGUCUAGACUGUAUUUCUGAUUCAUUUAAUAUUAUCUUCAUUGAAAAAUAAUGCAUUUCUUUCAGAUUUAAGGACAUUUCUAAGUGACCCCAAACUCUUGAACGGUAGUGUGCACCUUGUCAGGCUUCAUACGAGCUGCUGGUAAUGCUGAUGACAGUUUCUUUAAACAUCUAGGCUGUUCCUUUUACUUUCUCUUAAAGCAAGUUAACAGUAAUGUGUGAUCGUGAUGUUUCAGCACUGGCUCUACAGUCAAACUACACACUCCACAUGGUAUUUGUUUGCAGUCUGUCUCUCAUUCACAUGUCAUGAUGUGUCGGGAUAUUUGAAAGACUGGAUUAGUUUUAGUUUUUUACUGCUAUAUAAAGAAAAACACUUCCUCAGCCAACAGUCCCACAUGAGUAUUUGCUGCUGAAGGUGCAGAAACCUGCACAUGUGUAACAAUAUGCAGAGAGCAGCAUCGGCAGAGACUGCAGAGUCUAUUUUUGCAAAGCUUAAGCAGCGCCGUUAUUUUCAUAUGAAACACCCAGAGGAAGAUGAAUUUCAAAUGUACAUUUUCAGAACUUGUUAAAUAUGAGACAGCUGGUGAAACACAACUCCACAGAUGUUUAUAAUGAGCACUCUAUUUUGCAAUCAGAUCUAUUUUGGUGACAGGAACAGAGCGUAUAGGUAUUUGCAUGUAUUUUAUGCCUGCUGUGUCCCAUGUGUUGCACAGUUCAAGUUAGAGACUUCAGAACCAUGUUUUAGUAUGACAAUCUUUUACAGGAACUUUGGAAUCACUGCAUAAUAUCUAUUUGUAAAUAAAGAAUGU